GGACUACUGGGGUAUCUAAUCCCGUUUGCUCCCCUGGCCUUCGCGCCUCAGCGUCAGGAACUGUCCAGAGACCCGCCUUCGCCACUGGUCUUCCUCACGAUAUCUACGCAUUUCACUGCUACACCGUGAAUUCCAGUCUCCUCUCCAGUCCUCUAGCAGAGCAGUAUCCAGUGCAGUUUAGGAGUUGAGCUCCUAGAUUUCACACCAGACUUACCCCGCCGCCUACGCGCCCUUUACGCCCAAUGAAUCCGAACAACGCUCGAGACCUCUGUAUUACCGCGGCUGCUGGCAC
RNAcentral lists this ribosomal RNA (292 nucleotides) under uncultured bacterium. RNAcentral's name for it is "partial 16S ribosomal RNA". RNAcentral also lists the same sequence under 1 other name. The record is from RNAcentral.